GUGAGUCAUCGAAUCUUUGAACGCACAUUGCGCUCUUUGGUAUUCCGAAGAGCACGCCUGUUUGAGUAUCGAAAAAACCAUCACGACUUGGUCUUGGAGUUCGCUCCGAUCGACUUUGAGAAGUGGAUUUGGAUUGUCCUGCUUUUCGCGAAGCAGGCUGUCUCAAAAGAGAGCGUUGGAAGCUGGAUCUCCUCUUCUGGGAUCGCUGCCCGAAAAUGUUUGAAUUGACAUCCCUUUACGGGGAAGACAUUUUUUUCUUUCUUGCAGUUUAGAGCCUGGUGGAGAACCGGUCGACCGAUU
Molecule: unclassified non-coding RNA, 300 nt
Filed under: uncultured fungus
Lineage: Eukaryota; Fungi
Description: sequence contains 5.8S rRNA gene, ITS2
Rfam family: 5.8S ribosomal RNA (bases 1-71)
Source: RNAcentral